GGCUUAGAGUUUGAUCCUGGCUCAGAUUGAACGCUGGCGGCAUGCCUUACACAUGCAAGUCGAACGGUAACAGGUCUUCGGAUGCUGACGAGUGGCGAACGGGUGAGUAAUACAUCGGAACGUGCCCGAGAGUGGGGGAUAACGGAGCGAAAGCUUUGCUAAUACCGCAUACGAUCUCAGGAUGAAAGCAGGGGACCGCAAGGCCUUGCGCUCACGGAGCGGCCGAUGGCAGAUUAGGUAGUUGGUGGGAUAAAAGCUUACCAAGCCGACGAUCUGUAGCUGGUCUGAGAGGACGACCAGCCACACUGGGACUGAGACACAGGCCCAGACUCCUACGGGAGGCAGCAGUGGGGAAUUUUGGACAAUGGGCGCAAGCCUGAUCCAGCCAUGCCGCGUGCAGGAUGAAGGCCUUCGGGUUGUAAACUGCUUUUGUACGGAACGAAAAGACUCCUUCUAAUAAAGGGGGUCCAUGACGGUACCGUAAGAAUAAGCACCGGCUA
Molecule: ribosomal RNA, 500 nt
Filed under: uncultured bacterium
Lineage: Bacteria
Description: SSU rRNA
Rfam family: Bacterial small subunit ribosomal RNA
Source: RNAcentral